Molecule: non-coding RNA, 1254 nt
Organism: Cricetulus griseus (Chinese hamster)
Lineage: Eukaryota; Metazoa; Chordata; Mammalia; Rodentia; Cricetidae
Source: Rfam
UACUGAAUCUAAUGUUUAAAGAGGCCAAGACACUUAAGCAUGGCCAAUAUGCAGUAUGUAAAAAUACUCCUUUAAAAGCUUGCCUUGUAAUUCAAGCCACUUUCAUGUGGAGCAUCAAAAUUCUUGUUUCUCUGUAUGCUUAUACAGAAAAAAGUAUCAACCUGAGGCCCCACAUCAUUUGCCCAUGUAUUAGAAAGCAUUCAAGAGGUAAUCGGAAGGAAACCAUAAUCUAUUUCUGGUAUCAAGGGGUGAUGGAAAAGGAGAAAAAUGGAAAUACAAACUGUGUGCAGGAUCUGCUCUGAACUGUAAACAUCAAUGUGGAAUUUUUGGCAGAUGAUAUGGUUCUAUUUUGUUGGUUUUCAGAACUAAGGCCAUAAUUAAGAGGAAUGCUUGGGGGCAUUAAUAUUGUGUCACUAAAGGUGAAAUUCUUGGACUGGUGCAUGACGGACCAGAGAGAAAGCAUUUGCCAAGAAUGUUUUCAUUAAUCAAGAAAGACAGUCGGAAUUUCAAGGACGAUCAGACACUGUCGUAAUUCCCACCAUAAAUGAUGCUGACUGUGGAUGCAGCGGCGUUAUUCCCUUGAUCCCCGGGCAGCUUCCAGGAAACGUAAGUCUUUGGGUUCUGGUGGGAAUAUGGCUGCAAAGCAGAAACUUAAAGUAAAUGAUGGAAGGGCACCACUAGGAGUGGAGCCUGCAGUUUAAUUUGACUCAACACGGGCAACAUCACCCAGUCCUGAUAUGGACAUGAUUGACAGAUUAAUAGCUCUUUCUCAAUUCCGUCGGAGGUGGUGCAUGGCUGUUCUUAGUUGGUGGAGCGAUUUGUCUGGUUAGUUCUGAUAAGGAAGGAGACUCUGGCAUGCUAACUAGUUAAGCGACCCUGAGCUGUCAGCAUCCCCCAACUUCUUAGAUUGAGAAAUAACAGGUCUGUGAUGGCCUUAGAUGUCUGGGCUGAACACACACUACACUGACUGGCUCAGCAUGUGCCUACUUUAUGCUGGCAGGCCUGGGUAACCCGUUGAUGGGGACCAGGGAUUGCAAUUAUUCCCCAUGGACAAGGAAUUCCCAGUAAGUGCGGGCCACAAGAUUGUGUGGAUUAAAUCCCUGCCCUUUGUACACACAACCCAUCACUACAGUUGGAUGAUUUAGUGAGGCCCUCAGAUCGGCCCUGCUGGGGUUGGCCCAUGGCCCUGGCUGAGUGCUGAGAAGACAGUCAAACAUGACUACCUAGAGGAAGUAAAAUUUGCAAGGAUCAUUA